AUGAAGACUUUUUCAGCACCGCCACUAACUUCCGUGCUGACAGCCAGUGAGGAAGAGCCGAGGGAAGACGGACGGCUUCUGCACGUAUUUGCAGCUAGAGUAUUCAGAGCAAGUGGAUGCUUUGGCCCAAGAGAAAGAGGUUUCCUUCCAGCUGCCUGCUGCGCUGCAAGGGCUGUCAUAUGGGGGUCCCGUGCUGCGCAUUCUCUCUAUGCCUGACGACACCGUAAUCAUGAUCAGAGAAGAUGGAGCGAUUUAUUUCUGGUCCCUGCAGCUGAAGUUGAAAAGAAGAAAGAGAGUUUUUGUAUGUGAUUUUCAUUUGAUAAGGAUGCUGAGUGCUCCAGUUUGAUUUUAUUUGCUAUUUUAAACUGCUCUUCAAGUGGCAUGAUUACAGAAAUUGUGUCCUUGAAUGUAAUAUAUUCAUGUUGCCUUUUGCUAGUCUAUAGAAUGCAAAUAAAAUAUGAUCUCUAUAUGUAGUACAAGAUAAUGCUUCAUUUUGCUCCUCAAAUCAGAUGGAGUAAUGGACUACAUAUGACUCCAUCAUGUAAUUUAUCAUAUGUCUUAAUGAAUGACAAAUGGAAG
RNAcentral lists this long non-coding RNA (579 nucleotides) under Canis lupus familiaris (dog). Its description in RNAcentral is "lncRNA (ENSCAFG00030022469.1)". The record is from RNAcentral. Lineage: Eukaryota; Metazoa; Chordata; Mammalia; Carnivora; Canidae.